UACGUAGGGGGCAAGCGUUAUCCGGAUUUACUGGGUGUAAAGGGAGCGUAGACGGCAGGGAAAGUCUGGAGUGAAAGCCCGGGGCUCAACCCCGGGACUGCUUUGGAAACUGCCUAGCUAGAGUGCAGGAGAGGUAAGAGGAAUUCCUAGUGUAGCGGUGAAAUGCGUAGAUAUUAGGAGGAACACCAGUGGCGAAGGCGUCUUACUGGACUGUAACUGACGUUGAGGCUCGAAAGCGUGGGGAGCAAAUAGG
RNAcentral lists this ribosomal RNA (253 nucleotides) under uncultured prokaryote. Its description in RNAcentral is "partial 16S ribosomal RNA". It matches the Rfam family "Bacterial small subunit ribosomal RNA", at positions 524 to 776 of the family's 1533-position model. The record is from RNAcentral.